RNAcentral lists this ribosomal RNA (419 nucleotides) under bacterium. Its description in RNAcentral is "partial 16S ribosomal RNA". It matches the Rfam family "Bacterial small subunit ribosomal RNA", at positions 355 to 776 of the family's 1533-position model. The record is from RNAcentral.
UGGGGGAUAUUGCACAAUGGGCGAAAGCCUGAUGCAGCGACGCCGCGUGGGGGAUGAAGGCCUGCGGGUUGUAAACUUCUUUUGCUCUGAACAAGGCAUGCUAAUGGGUGUGUUGAGUGUAGGGGUUGAUUAGCGCCGGCUAACUACGUGCCAGCAGCCGCGGUAAUACGUAGGGCGCGAGCGUUGUCCGGAAGUAUUGGGCGUAAAGGGCUUGUAGGUGGCUGGUUGCGUCGGUCGUGAAAGCUCAUGGCUUAACUGUGGGUUUGCGGUGGGUGCUGGCUGGCUUGAUGGCAGUAGGGGAGGCUGGAAUUCCUGGUGUAGCGGUGGAAUGCGCAGAUAUCAGGAGGAAUACCGGUGGCGAAGGCGGGUCUCUGGGCUGUUACUGACACUGAGGAGCGAAAGCAUGGGGAGCGAACAGG